Molecule: long non-coding RNA, 808 nt
Filed under: Nicotiana benthamiana
Lineage: Eukaryota; Viridiplantae; Streptophyta; Magnoliopsida; Solanales; Solanaceae
Description: long non-coding RNA (NBEN_LNC021939)
Source: RNAcentral
UCCCGUACCCAGUACCAUCAAAAGGUACAGAAACUAAAGAAGAUCCUAAAAUAUCGGACGAAUGAACAUAAAAAAGAUGACAUGGAUGCAUAUAAUCGUCCUCAUCAAAAGGCAAAUCUAGAAACAGAAGAAGCAGUUGGUAACACAGGUUCAUAACCAUCAUUAUUCGGUAUUUUGUAUGCAGUUAAUCAGGACAAAAUGCACGUACAAUGAAACAAGAGAACAUAGAUAGCUACGGUUACCAGAUUUCCUUCACGACCGUAAGGAACAACGGCCUUUUAAACAAAAGAGUCACAAGGACCAGCACCUCCUAGUUGAAUGAGUAAAAAAUUGACAAAAUCCAGCAAACCCUAGAUCGAAAUAAAAGCCUCAAACAACUCCAAAAAAAUGAUCAAUCGCCAGAAGAUAUUCGCUGCUAAUGAAAGCUUUCAUCUUUGUCAUCAAUACGGAAGAAACAAACUCAAAGUAGCCAGAAGAUAUUCGCUGCUAAUGAAAGCUUUUAUCUUUGUCAUCAAUACGGAAGAAACAAACUCAAAGUAUCGAUGAAGAUUCGCUGGAACGAAGAAACAAAAAAAAUCAAAGCAGAGAGAACAACGGAAUCUCAACAAGACUCCGAUGAAACUAAGUGAUUGUAGCCUCGGAAGAGAGAUAACAUCGUAAUCUAUCUAUAUCUCGGCUCUGAUACCAUGAUAAAACUCCUUUAAUGGUGAGGUCGAAGAAAGAUGAACGGAGAAGGAGAAGGACAGAAGUUUCUAGAUAUUUUUUAUUAGAGAAAAAUAUAAAUCCCAAAUCAGUCUGUUACAAAAAU